AUUGAACGCUGGCGGCAUGCUUUACACAUGCAAGUCGAACGGCAGCGCGGGGGCAACCCUGGCGGCGAGUGGCGAACGGGUGAGUAAUGCAUCGGAACGUAUCCUGUAAUGGGGGAUAACGUAGCGAAAGUUACGCUAAUACCGCAUACGCUCGAGAGAGGAAAGUGGGGGAUCGCAAGACCUCACGUUAUAGGAGCGGCCGAUGUCCGAUUAGCUAGUUGGUGGGGUAAAGGCCUACCAAGGCGACGAUCGGUAGCUGGUCUGAGAGGAUGAUCAGCCACACUGGGACUGAGACACGGCCCAGACUCCUACGGGAGGCAGCAGUGGGGAAUUUUGGACAAUGGGCGAAAGCCUGAUCCAGCCAUGCCGCGUGCGGGAAGAAGGCCU
This 387-nucleotide ribosomal RNA is filed under the name uncultured bacterium. Its description in RNAcentral is "bacterial SSU rRNA". It matches the Rfam family "Bacterial small subunit ribosomal RNA", at positions 29 to 417 of the family's 1533-position model. The record is from RNAcentral.